This 422-nucleotide long non-coding RNA is filed under the name Equus asinus (donkey). Its description in RNAcentral is "lncRNA (ENSEASG00005025395.1)". The record is from RNAcentral. Lineage: Eukaryota; Metazoa; Chordata; Mammalia; Perissodactyla; Equidae.
GUCUGACUGAAGUGGGCAAGAGCAGAAGCAGGAAGGCCAGUUAGGAUGCUGUAUGGUCCGGAUGACAGCAGAUGGUGACAUGGACCAGGGCAGUGGCAGAGGAGGGGACAAGAAACGGUAAGAAACAAAGAAAUGACUUACCCGGGAUCACACCUGAGAAAUCACCAGGGUCAUUUCACGCCCGAUUCCAUGUGACUCCAGUUCUAUGUGACACCCUUUGAAGUGGUUGGGAUCCAGACAUGAGGUCACAAUCAACUAAUUCACCUUUCAAAUGUUUUUUGAACCUCGACUGAAUGCUGGCACUGUGCUGGUUCUUACCGUCAGGAGCUUAGAUUCCAGUCGGAGGGACAGAGCAAAGAAGUGAACAAAGUCAAUAUGUGCUAUAAAGUAAAUAUGCGUUUUUAAUAAAGAAUGGUUAUGAC